GAUUAACGCUAGCGGCAGGCAUAAUACAUGCAAGUUGAACGGCAGCACAGGUAGCACUACUGGGUGGCGAGUGGCGCACGGGUGCGUAACACGUAUGCAACCUACCCUAUACAGGCGAAUAACCUUUAGAAAUGAGGGCUAAUACGCCGUAGUAUUACAGAUGGGCAUCUAUUUGUAAUUAAAGAUUUAUCGGUAUAGGAUGGGCAUGCGUCCCAUUAGUUAGUUGGUAAGGUAACGGCUUACCAAGACGAUGAUGGGUAGGGGAUCUGAGAGGACUUACCCCCACACUGGUACUGAGGCACGGACCAGACUCCUACGGGAGGCAGCAGUAAGGAAUAUUGGGCAAUGGCCGCGAGGCUGACCCAGCCAUGCCGCGUGCAGGAAGACGGCCUUAUGGGUUGUAAACUGCUUUUAUACGGGAAUAAUAGAGUGUACGCGUACAUUUAUGCAAGUAUCGUAUGAAUAAGCAGCGGCUAACUCCGUG
RNAcentral lists this ribosomal RNA (484 nucleotides) under uncultured bacterium. RNAcentral's name for it is "partial 16S ribosomal RNA". It matches the Rfam family "Bacterial small subunit ribosomal RNA", at positions 28 to 507 of the family's 1533-position model. The record is from RNAcentral.